RNAcentral lists this ribosomal RNA (487 nucleotides) under uncultured Lachnospiraceae bacterium. RNAcentral's name for it is "partial 16S ribosomal RNA". Lineage: Bacteria; Bacillati; Bacillota; Clostridia; Lachnospirales; Lachnospiraceae. The record is from RNAcentral.
CCCGUAGUUAGCCGGGGCUUCUUAGUCAGGUACCGUCAUUUUCUUCCCUGCUGAUAGAGCUUUACAUCACGAAUGACUUCUUCACUCACGCGGCGUCGCUGCAUCAGGGUUCCCCCCAUUGUGCAAUAUUCCCCACUGCUGCCUCCCGUAGGAGUUUGGGCCGUGUCUCAGUCCCAAUGUGGCCGUCCGCCCUCUCAGGCCGGCUACCGAUCGUCGCUUUGGUGGGCCUCUACCCCGCCAACUGGCUAAUCGGACGCGGGUCCAUCCCAUACCACCGGAGUUUUUCACACUGCUUCAUGCAAAGCUGUGCGCUUAUGCGGUAUUAGCAGCCGUUUCCGGCUGGUAUCCCCCGGUAUGGGGCAGGUUACCCACGCGUUACUCACCCGUCCGCCACUAACAUAAUUCUCACUAGGUUUCAAAUUAUGUCCGUUCGACUUGCAUGUGUUAGGCACGCCGCCAGCGUUCAUCCUGAGCAGGAUCAAACUCU